GGGUAUGUAGCUCAGGUGGUAAGAGCGCACCCCUGAUAAGGGUGAAGGUCGUUGGUUCGAGUCCAAUCAGACCCA
Molecule: transfer RNA, 75 nt
Filed under: Photobacterium phosphoreum
Lineage: Bacteria; Pseudomonadati; Pseudomonadota; Gammaproteobacteria; Vibrionales; Vibrionaceae
Description: tRNA-Ile
Rfam family: tRNA
About the family: Transfer RNA (tRNA) molecules are approximately 80 nucleotides in length. Their secondary structure includes four short double-helical elements and three loops (D, anti-codon, and T loops). Further hydrogen bonds mediate the characteristic L-shaped molecular structure. tRNAs have two regions of fundamental functional importance: the anti-codon, which is responsible for specific mRNA codon recognition, and the 3' end, to which the tRNAs corresponding amino acid is attached (by aminoacyl-tRNA synthetases). tRNAs cope with the degeneracy of the genetic code in two manners: having more than one tRNA (with a specific anti-codon) for a particular amino acid; and 'wobble' base-pairing, i.e. permitting non-standard base-pairing at the 3rd anti-codon position.
Source: RNAcentral